CCCAGGCGGAGUGCUUAAUGCGUUAGCUGCAGCACUAAGGGGCGGAAACCCCCUAACACUUAGCACUCAUCGUUUACGGCGUGGACUACCAGGGUAUCUAAUCCUGUUUGAUCCCCACGCUUUCGCACAUCAGCGUCAGUUACAGACCAGAAAGUCGCCUUCGCCACUGGUGUUCCUCCAUAUCUCUGCGCAUUUCACCGCUACACAUGGAAUUCCACUUUCCUCUUCUGCACUCAAGUUUUCCAGUUUCCAAUGACCCUCCACGGUUGAGCCGUGGGCUUUCACAUCAGACUUAAAAAACCGCCUACGCGCGCUUUACGCCCAAUAAUUCCGGAUAACGCUUGCCACCUACGUAUUACCGCGGCUGCUGGCACGUAGUUAGCCGUGGCUUUCUGAUUAGGUACCGUCAAGAUGUGCACAGUUACUUACACAUAUGUUCUUCCCUAAUAACAGAGUUUUACGAUCCGAAGACCUUCAUCACUCACGCGGCGUUGCUCCGUCAGGCUUUCGCCCAUUGCGGAAGAUUCCCUACUGCUGCCUCCCGUAGGAGUCUGGACCGUGUCUCAGUUCCAGUGUGGCCGAUCACCCUCUCAGGUCGGCUAUGCAUCGUUGCCUUGGUAAGCCGUUACCUUACCAACUAGCUAAUGCAGCGCGGAUCCAUCUAUAAGUGACAGCAAGACCGUCUUUCACUUUUGAACCAUGCGGUUCAAAAUAUUAUCCGGUAUUAGCUCCGGUUUCCCGAAGUUAUCCCAGUCAUAUAGGUAGGUUAUCCACGUGUUACUCACCCGUCCGCCGCUAACAUCAGAGAAGCAAGCUUCUCGUCCGUUCGCUCGACUUGCAUGUAUUAGGCACGCCGCCAGCGUUCAUCCUGAGCCAGGAUCAAACCCUC
RNAcentral lists this ribosomal RNA (889 nucleotides) under uncultured bacterium. RNAcentral's name for it is "partial 16S ribosomal RNA". The record is from RNAcentral.